GACGAACGCUGGCGGCGGGCUUAACACAUGCAAGUCGAACGGAAAGGCCCUGCUUUUGUGGGGUGCUCGAGUGGCGAACGGGUGAGCAACACGUGAGUAACCUGCCCUUGACUUUGGGAUAACUUCAGGAAACUGGGGCUAAUACCGGAUAGGAGCUGCUGCUGCAUGGUGGGGGUUGGAAAGUUUCGGCGGUUGGGGAUGGACGCGCGGCUUAUCAGCUUGUUGGUGGGGUAGUGGCUUACCAAGGCUUUGACGGGUAGCCGGCCUGAGAGGGUGACCGGCGACAUUGGUACUGAGAUACGGACCAGACUCCUACGGGAGGCAGCAGUGGGGAAUAUUGCACAAUGGGCGGAAGCCUGAUGCAGCAACGCCGCGUGCGGGAUGACGGCCUUCGGGUUGUAAACCGCUUUCGCCUGUGACGAAGCGUGAGUGACGGUAAUGGGUAAAGAAGCACCGGCUAACUACGUG
RNAcentral lists this ribosomal RNA (468 nucleotides) under uncultured bacterium. RNAcentral's name for it is "partial 16S ribosomal RNA". It matches the Rfam family "Bacterial small subunit ribosomal RNA", at positions 28 to 507 of the family's 1533-position model. The record is from RNAcentral.